GACGAACGCUGGCGGCGUGCUUAACACAUGCAAGUCGAACGGAAAGGCCCUGCUUUUGUUGGGUUCACGAGUGGCGCACGGGUGAGUAACACGUGAGUAACCUCCCCUUGACUUUGGGAGAACUCCACGAAACUGCGGCUAAUACCGCAUAUGAGCUCCUGCUGCAUGGUGUGGGUUGGUAAGAUUCGGCGGUUGGGGAUGGACUCGCGGCUUAUCAGCUUGUUGGUGGGGUAGUGGCUUACCAAGGGUUUGACGGGUAGGCGGCCUGAGAGGGGGACCGGCGACAAGGGGACUGAGAGACGGAGCAGACUGCUACGGGAGGCAGCAGUCGAGAAUAUUGCACAACGGGCGGGAGCCUGAUGCAGCAACGCCGCGAGCGGGAUGACGGGCUACGGGGUGUAAACCGCUUUGGCAUGAGACGAAGCGUGAGUGACGGUAAUGGGUAAAGAAGCACCGGCUAACUACGUG
RNAcentral lists this ribosomal RNA (468 nucleotides) under uncultured bacterium. RNAcentral's name for it is "partial 16S ribosomal RNA". It matches the Rfam family "Bacterial small subunit ribosomal RNA", at positions 28 to 507 of the family's 1533-position model. The record is from RNAcentral.